Molecule: ribosomal RNA, 253 nt
Filed under: uncultured bacterium
Lineage: Bacteria
Description: partial 16S ribosomal RNA
Rfam family: Bacterial small subunit ribosomal RNA
Source: RNAcentral
UACAGAGGGUGCAAGCGUUAAUCGGAAUUACUGGGCGUAAAGCGUGCGUAGACGGUUACAUAAGUCAGAUGUGAAAGCCCCGGGCUCAACCUGGGAAUUGCAUUUGAGACUGCGUAGCUAGGGUGCGGAAGAGGGAAGCGGAAUUUCCGGUGUAGCGGUGAAAUGCGUAGAUAUCAGGAGGAACACCUGUGGCGAAAGCGGCUCACUGGACCACAACUGACGCUGAGGCGCGAAAGCUAGGGGAGCAAACAGG